This 439-nucleotide ribosomal RNA is filed under the name uncultured bacterium. RNAcentral's name for it is "partial 16S ribosomal RNA". It matches the Rfam family "Bacterial small subunit ribosomal RNA", at positions 338 to 795 of the family's 1533-position model. The record is from RNAcentral.
CCUACGGGUGGCAGCAGUGGGGAAUAUUGCACAAUGGGCGAAAGCCUGAUGCAGCAACGCCGCGUGAGCGAUGAAGGCCUUCGGGUCGUAAAUCUCUGUCCUCAAGGAAGAUAAUGACGGUACGUGAGGAGGACGCCCCGGCUAACUACGGGCCACAAGCCGUAGUAAUACGUCGGGGGCUACCGUUAUCCGGAAUUACUGGGCGUAAAGGGUGCGUAGGUGGUUUCUUAAGUCAGAGGUGAAAGGCUAGGGCUCAACCGUAGUAAGCCGUUGAAACGGGGGAACUUGAGGGCAGGAGAGGAGAGUGGAAUUCCUAGUGUAGCGGUGAAAUGCGUAGAUAUUAGGAGGAACACCAGUUGCGAAGGCGGCUCUCUGGACUGUAACUGACACUGAGGCACGAAAGCGUGGGGAGCAAACAGGAUUAGAUACCCGAGUAGUC